GACGAACGCUGGCGGCGUGCUUAACACAUGCAAGUCGAACGAAGAGCGACGGAAGCUUGCUUCUAUCAAUCUUAGUGGCGAACGGGUGGGUAACGCGUAAUCAACCUGCCCUUCAGAGGGGGACAACAGUUGGAAACGACUGCUAAUACCGCAUACGAUCUAACCUCGGCAUCGAGGAUAGAUGAAAGGUGGCCUCUACAUGUAAGCUAUCACUGAAGGAGGGGAUUGCGUCUGAUUAGCUAGUUGGAGGGGUAACGGCCCACCAAGGCGAUGAUCAGUAGCCGGUCUGCGAGGAUGAACGGCCACAUUGGGACUGGGACACGGCCCAGACUCCUACGGGCGGCAGCAGUGGGGAAUCUUCCGCAAUGGACGCAAGUCUGACGGAGCAACGCCGCGUGAGUGAUGACGGCCUUCGGGUUGUAAAGCUCUGUUAAUCGGGACGAAAGGCCUUCUUGCGAAUAGUGAGAAGGAUUGACGGUACCGGAAUAGAAAGCCACGGCUAACUACGUG
This 510-nucleotide ribosomal RNA is filed under the name uncultured bacterium. RNAcentral's name for it is "partial 16S ribosomal RNA". It matches the Rfam family "Bacterial small subunit ribosomal RNA", at positions 28 to 507 of the family's 1533-position model. The record is from RNAcentral.